RNAcentral lists this long non-coding RNA (687 nucleotides) under Varroa destructor (honeybee mite). RNAcentral describes it as "uncharacterized LOC111247457, transcript variant X2". Lineage: Eukaryota; Metazoa; Arthropoda; Arachnida; Mesostigmata; Varroidae. The record is from RNAcentral.
UUAAAUGACUUUACUAAAUUAAGUGAUCACAACGGACUUCCUUUCUUCGAAUGGCGUCGUUGGGUUACUGCUCUGAAGUGGGUUCGAUUUUAGAAUAACGUGCUGAACUAAAUCGGUUAGUCUACUAAUACUCCAAAUUCUGACACAAUAAGGGUUGCAGUUACUACUUAACCUGCAAGGACAUGUCCUCUGUGUGUACUAACUACCGUUGUACUGGCUGGUUGAGUGCUCCCCUUGAUUCAGCGUUGUAGUACACAAAUCUUCGUUCACUGUAACGCAGCGUUCAGUAUGUGUGGCUCAUCUCUAAUGCUACAGUGAACUAUCGUACUGGCAAUGCCGUUAAAUGUUGUUCUGCGAUAUUUGUGUGAAGAUAGGGCGGGUUUGAAUCCCUCUUCCUCCUGGCGCUUGCUGUUACUAAGCUGUUCAUCGUUCCAAUGGUUUUUGCGCCGUUUCUGGAAAACUUGAUGAAAUUACCCACAGUAACCCUUGGCCAUUACUUACUCUACACAAUCGCCGUACUCAUCUCUACCCUAUAAUGGACUGGAAAACCCUUCAUUUGCUGAGCAAUCAUUUUUGUCACGUUUGAUGUCCGCUGGCGUAAAUAGUGGAAAACAACGACGAAACCUGUUUGUCACAGCGGCUACGGCAUGAUUAUUUAUAUCGAUAUAGAUACUUCCAUUAUUUCGA